This is a long non-coding RNA of Salvia hispanica, 539 nucleotides long. RefSeq lists it as uncharacterized. The record is from RefSeq and is a predicted model, not a curated record. Lineage: Eukaryota; Viridiplantae; Streptophyta; Magnoliopsida; Lamiales; Lamiaceae.
UCAACCGCCAUCUGAAUCAGUUUCUAUCAAUGCAGAUUUUAUAUCUAUAUACUCCGUCUUCUACUCCUCAGUCACAUUCUUCUCCAUUUAUUCAAAAUCUGAGAAAAGAAGUUUAGAGAAAAUCGUGAGUUAUUCAAGAAGCUUCCUGCAAUUGCAAAUUUGUAUUAUCCAAUAAAAGUUUGAAGGAGAAACGAGAGAGAUUUGUUUUCAAGUCCUCGUGCUGCUAGCAAUUUCUUUCUGCCAAUUAAAGGGUGAUCUUUUGUACGUCGUUUGAUGUUGGAAUGGAGAGGUGAUUGAGGAGUUAAGCUUGUGAGGUUGAGCUGUGACGAGCGCGGUGGGUGUUGAGCAGAACUGGUGAAGAUUUGUGUUUGCUGUUGAAUGUUCUGAAUAUAUUAUGUCUUCAUACAUAGUAUUAUUCUUCUCUCGAAUGCUUCCGCUGAAUGUUGUUUCUUUCGAAAUCUUGUAUUGUGGAGAUAAUAUUUAUUUGAGUUGUUGAUUAUUGAAAUACUCUGAUUUGAGCUAUUCCCAUUUAUAUUUAA